ACACCGGCCGCUCCGCGCCCCCCGGAGGCCCCCCGGAUCACGCUGCCCCCAGCGCCCCUCCCUCGUGCGGUUGCCAGCUGCGGUUGCGGGCCCUGGGCUACAAGCCCAUUGAAGCGAGGACAGGCCCAGUAGCGCUAGGCCCUUGCUACGUGUCUGGCCUGCUGAAGCAGCUACGGGCUGGGCUGCUCGCACGCAGGUCUCAGUAGGAAGGUUAUUCAGCACUCUUAACUCGUCAAUGCUCUCGGACAUAAGAGCAGAGGGAGAUGAAGACCAACAUUACAGGUGACAAGAGCAUAUAUGGCGAAUGUUUGUCUUUACCCAUUAUGGAUGGAACAUAUAAUAUAUAACCACGAAAGAACAACAAUCCCGAUAAAGAAAAAGAAGGUUAAUCUAA
This is a long non-coding RNA of Panicum hallii, 394 nucleotides long. RefSeq lists it as uncharacterized. The transcript has 2 exons. The record is from RefSeq and is a predicted model, not a curated record. Lineage: Eukaryota; Viridiplantae; Streptophyta; Magnoliopsida; Poales; Poaceae.